Molecule: ribosomal RNA, 932 nt
Filed under: Lasiodiplodia pseudotheobromae
Lineage: Eukaryota; Fungi; Ascomycota; Dothideomycetes; Botryosphaeriales; Botryosphaeriaceae
Description: partial large subunit ribosomal RNA
Rfam family: Eukaryotic large subunit ribosomal RNA
Source: RNAcentral
CUAAGCAUAUCAAUAAGCGGAGGARWAGAAACCMAACAGGGAUUGCSUUAGUAACGGCGAGUGAAGCGGCAACAGCUCAAAUUUGAAAGCUGGCCCUUUUAGGGUCCGCGUUGUAAUUUGUAGAGGAUGAUUCGGCGAGGGCUCCUGCCUAAGUCCCCUGGAACGGGGCGUCAUAGAGGGUGAGAAUCCCGUAUGCGGUAGGUUGCCUUAGCCAUGUGAAUCUCCUUCGACGAGUCGAGUUGUUUGGGAAUGCAGCUCUAAAUGGGAGGUAAAUUUCUUCUAAAGCUAAAUACUGGCCAGAGACCGAUAGCGCACAAGUAGAGUGAUCGAAAGAUGAAAAGCACUUUGGAAAGAGAGUUAAAAAGUACGUGAAAUUGUUGAAAGGGAAGCGCUUGCAACCAGACUUGUCCGCAGUUGCUCAGCCGGUCUCCUGACCGGCGUACUCUUCUGCGGCCAGGCCAGCAUCAGUUCGGGCGGUCGGAUAAAGGCCUCGGGAAUGUAGCUCCUCUCGGGGAGUGUUAUAGCCCGGGGUGGAAUGCGACCAGCCUGGACUGAGGAUCUCGCUUCGGCAAGGAUGCUGGCGUAAUGGUUGUAAGCGGCCCGUCUUGAAACACGGACCAAGGAGUCUAACAUCUAUGCGAGUGUUCGGGUGUCAAACCCGUACGCGUAAUGAAAGUGAACGGAGGUGGGAACCCGCAAGGGUGCACCAUCGGCCGAUCCUGAUGUCUUCGGAUGGAUUUGAGCAAGAGCAUAGCUGUUGGGACCCGAAAGAUGGUGAACUAUGCCUGAAUAGGGUGAAGCCAGAGGAAACUCUGGUGGAGGCUCGCAGCGGUUCUGACGUGCAAAUCGAUCGUCAAAUUUGGGUAUAGGGGCGAAAGACUAAUCGAWCCAUCUAKUAGCUGGUUCCUGCCGAAGUUCCCCCUUCAAGGAAA